AUGAAACUCAUUGCUUGGAACUGCCGGGGAUUGGGUAACGGCCCGGCAGUCCGAGGGCUUCUGGAGAUCCAGAAGCGGGAGGACCCAGAUAUUCUUUUCUUGUCCGAAACCAAACUGGAUGAGAGGAGAAUAAAGCAUUUUAAAUGGGUGUUGGGUAUGAAGGAAAUGGUAAUAAAAGACUGUAAAGGAAAAAGUGGAGGGCUAGCAAUGUUUUGGAAGGAUACAGUGAAGGCUGAGCUUCACAAUUUCUCCAAGUACCACAUAGACAUUGAGAUAAUUGAAUACGAUAAUUUUAGAUGGAGGUUUACAGGUAUAUAUGGCGAACCAGCAAGUGACAAAAAGGAAAGGACCUUCAAUUUGCUUCGGGAUCUGAGUGCCCAGCUUGAAAGACCUUGGAUUUGUGUUGGAGAUUUUAAUGAAAUAUUGUAUGGCCAUGAGAAAGAAGGUGGCCCCCCAAGAAUUCAAGCCCACAUGGACAAAUUCAAAGAAACUCUUGAAGAAUGUGGUUUGCAGGACCUGGGCUAUGAGGGGGAUAUAUUCACAUGGAGAAAUCAUAGCCAUUCGGCAGAAAAAUACAUUAAGGAGAGGCUGGAUAGAGCUGUGGCAAAUAUGGAGUGGUGUGACCGUUUUCCUGGUUUCAAGGUAAUAAAUGGGGAUCCCCGACAUUCCGACCAUCGACCAAUCAUAGUGGAAACUGAAGGAAGGUAUUUUAAAAGCAGAAGAGGCACUCCACAUUUCAGAUUUGAAGCAAAUUGGGUGGAAGAAGAGAACUGUGAAACCAUCAUAGAGAAUGCCUGGAAGUUGACAAUGGCACAAGGAACUAAUAACAUUAUUCAAGGCCUUCAAAAGGUGGCUAGUGAGCUUCAAAACUGGAGUACAAAUAUCUUGGGCGAUCUUGAAAAGAGGUUGAAGAUUUUAAAGAGGGAGUUGGAGGAAGUCAGAAGAAGUGCAAUAUCCCCUCUACAAGUCUCUCGUGAAUUGUUCCUACGUGAGAAGCUCGAGCGCCUGGAACAUCAACGAGACCUUUAUUGGAAGCAACGCUCACAUGUCAAUUGGCUUAAAUCAGGUGACAAAAACACAAAGUAUUUUCAUGCCUUCGCCUCUGAAAGAAAGAAGAGAAAUACAAUCCGCCGGCUAAAAAAUGAUAGUGGGGACUGGGUAGAAGGCGAUGAGAAUUUAAAAAAUCUAAUCAAUGACUACUUUGUGUCUCUGUUUACAGCCCAGGCAGAAGGAAGUAGCCAAGAAGCUUUAAGUUGCAUAGGAAGAAGAGUGGACCAAAGCAUGAACAAUAUUCUGUGCACUGAAUUUUCUGAAGAUGAGGUGAGAGCAGCCCUUGACGCAAUAGGGGACUUGAAAGCACCAGGCCCUGAUGGUAUGCCGGCCCUAUUUUACAAGCGCUACUGGCACAUAGUAGGGGAGAAGAUCACUCAAGAAGCUUUGCGGAUACUGAGGGGAGGAGAGAUGCCGAUGGGGUGGAAUGACACAAUGGUGGUGCUUAUUCCAAAAGUAAGCAGACCUGAGAGUUUGAAGGACCUCCGACCCAUAAGCCUCUGCAACGUAGUCUAUAAGAUAGUUUCUAAAGUGCCGACCAAUAGACUAAAGGUGAUAUUACCUGAUAUUAUCUCUCCGAAUCAAAGUGCUUUUGUUCCGGGGAGAAUGAUCUCGGAUAACAUCCUCUUGGCAUAUGAGCUGACUCAUUUCUUGCAGAAUAAAAGAAGAGGGAAAGCCAGCUUUGCAGCACUCAAACUCGACAUGAGCAAGGCGUACGAUCGAAUUGAAUGGACUUUCUUGAGGGACAUGAUGAUAAAGAUGGGGUUUAACUCUUCCUGGGUCAAGCUCAUUAUGAACUGCGUCACCACGGUUCGUUAUCAAAUAAAGAAAGGAGGAACGUGGAAAAAUAAUAGGCAUCAAAGUAUGCAAAAGAGCUCCAAGCAUUAA
Molecule: ribosomal RNA, 1938 nt
Filed under: Triticum aestivum (bread wheat)
Lineage: Eukaryota; Viridiplantae; Streptophyta; Magnoliopsida; Poales; Poaceae
Description: partial small subunit ribosomal RNA
Source: RNAcentral